GUGCACCAGUCGAGAAACUUCACACUGUGCGAAAGCACGAUGAGGGAAUCCCAAGUGCUUGCACGUAAGUGUAAGCUGUUUCUCUGUUUAAAACGCAGAGAGAGUAAGGGCUGGGUAAGACGGGUGCCAGCCGCCGCGGUAAUACCUGCAGCUCAAGUGGGUGACCGUUAUUAUUGGGCCUAAAACGUCCGUAGCCGGUUUAAUAAAUGCCUGGGUAAAUCGUGUAGCUUAACUAUACGAAUUCCGGGUAGACUGUUAAACUCGAGACCGGGAGAAGUUAGAGGUACUCCUGGGGUAGAGGUGAAAUUCUGUAAUCCUAGGGGGACCACCAGUGGCGAAGGCGUCUAACUAGAACGGGUCUGACGGUGAGGGACGAAGCCCUGGGGCGCAAACGGGAUUAGAUACCCCCGGUA
RNAcentral lists this ribosomal RNA (413 nucleotides) under uncultured microorganism. RNAcentral describes it as "bacterial SSU rRNA". It matches the Rfam family "Archaeal small subunit ribosomal RNA", at positions 330 to 743 of the family's 1478-position model. The record is from RNAcentral.